Mauremys mutica (yellowpond turtle) is the source of this 1764-nucleotide long non-coding RNA. RefSeq lists it as uncharacterized. NCBI's taxonomy places the organism in Eukaryota, Metazoa, Chordata, Testudines, Geoemydidae. The transcript is spliced from 4 exons. The record is from RefSeq and is a predicted model, not a curated record.
UUCAACAGGUUUAAACCUAUAAAUAGGGACAGAAAACUGGACAAUGCUGUCAAAGAAAUAUUGCUGAUACAAGACUUCUACCAUUAUGGGGAGCAACGACAUGAACAAGAUGGAAGUCAAAACCAGCAGACAGGUUUUCCUGAGAUUACAGAAGAUGAUUUAUCAAGUGUUAUCCCUCAAGAAGAAACGUUGAAGGAGCGCUCGCUUAAAGGGGCCAAGAAAUUUCCCUCUGAAUCAGCUACAGUUGGAAACAAGGGAAUCAAACCCCCCCUCCCCCGAUUUUGAACAACCCCGCACAACCAAAUCCCUCAUUACACAGUCGGCUGCUCUUAAAAAGGGCCAAAAAAUCUACCUCUGAAACAGCGACAGUUUCCAGGGGUGGGGAAAAGGGGAUCAGACCCCCUGAUGUUGAACCACCCUGCACCUCCAGAGCUAAGAAAUCUACCUCUGCAGCUUCCAGGGACAUUGAAACAAGACCAAAGGAUCCCUGCAGGCACAAUCAGGAGAAGAGGGCUUUAACAGGGACUUGGUGCACAAUAGAGUUGGUGAAGGCUUUAAACAAAGGGUACAGGAUCGCUGAAAUUUAUGAAGUCUGGCAUUUUAACUGCUCUUCAGAUGCCCUGUUUUCAGACUACAUUAAAACACAACUGAGACAGAAACAAGAGGCCUCAGGAUUCCCUCACUCGUGGACGGACGAGUUAAAAAAAAACAGUACGUUAAAGAGUACCGGGGACGAGAAGGCAUGUGUCUGUGUCUAAACAAGAUAAAGGUAAACCCCGCAAAAAGGCAAAUCUCAAAGCUGUUUUUAAAUUCCUUGUGGGGAAAAUUUGGUCAGCAAACAAAUUUGACUAGCACCAGUACAGUAACGGACCCUGACGAGCUCUUCAAGCACAUCUUUGUACCUUAUUACGAUAUGUCAGCGUGCGAGUUUAUCAAUGAUGAUACGGCAGUGGUGUCUUGGAAGUACACAAAAGAAUGCUGCACCCAUUCCAGCAACACUAAUGUGUUUAUAGCGUGCUUUACCACCGCUUAUGCCAGGCUAGAGCGCUACCAUCUGUUAGAUCGCUUACAGGAGCGGUCUCUUUAUCACGAUACAGAUUCUGUAAUUUUUGUGAGUAAAGAAGGGGAGUGGAAUCCGUCCCUAAUGGAUUAUUUAUGGGAUCUGACUAACAAAAUACCCCCAGAUUAAUACAUCGUGGAGUUUGUGUCCGCUGGGCCUAAAACAUACGGGUACAAACUGUCCAGCGGUAAGACCUGUAUGAAAUUAAAAGAGAUCACACUCAACUCAGGGAAUAGUGAGAAAAUUAAUUUUGAAAGCUUAAAAUAAUUUGUCUGGGAUUACCCCACGGGAGAGAUCCCAAAAGAAAUCAUGGUACAGCAGCCAGGAAUCGUACGGGUAAAAAACAUUGGUUGAUAGAAACAAGAACUCUGAAGAAAACCCAGAAAGUUGUUUAUGACAAAAGAGCCCUCAAGGAGGAUUUAAAAACCUUGCCGUACGGAUAUUGAUUAUUAUGAAAAGCCAUGUUCGGUUUGUUCACCCUUUUUCCUGUUUGCUUUGUGGCCCCUCGAAUUCUGGAAAAACAUUUUUUAUAAAGCAAUUGUUAGAAAAUGGUAAUAAGUUGUUAUUGUGUAUGCCUGAAAACAUUGUGUAGUGUUAUAGUUGUUGGCAACCAUUGUAUAAAGAGUUGCUGCAAAAAUUUUCAUGUAUUACAUUUUUGGAAGAUUUACCUAAUACUUUUAAUGAUGAACAUUUAUUUCCUAGUA